RNAcentral lists this ribosomal RNA (513 nucleotides) under uncultured chicken cecal bacterium. Its description in RNAcentral is "bacterial SSU rRNA". It matches the Rfam family "Bacterial small subunit ribosomal RNA", at positions 8 to 521 of the family's 1533-position model. The record is from RNAcentral.
AGAGUUUGAUCCUGGCUCAGGAUGAACGCUGGCGGCGUGCUUAACACAUGCAAGUCGAACGAAGCGCAUGGACGGAUUCCUUCGGGUUGAAGACCAUGUGACUUAGUGGCGGACGGGUGAGUAACGCGUGGGUAACCUGCCCUGCACAGGGGGAUAACAGUUGGAAACGACUGCUAAUACCGCAUAAGCCAACAGGGCCGCAUGGCCUGGUUGGAAAAGAUUUAUCGGUGCAGGAUGGACCCGCGUCUGAUUAGCUGGUUGGCGGGGUAACGGCCCACCAAGGCGACGAUCAGUAGCCGGCCUGAGAGGGUGAACGGCCACAUUGGGACUGAGACACGGCCCAAACUCCUACGGGAGGCAGCAGUGGGGAAUAUUGCACAAUGGGGGAAACCCUGAUGCAGCGACGCCGCGUGAGUGAAGAAGUAUUUCGGUAUGUAAAGCUCUAUCAGCAGGGAAGAAAAUGACGGUACCUGACUAAGAAGCCCCGGCUAACUACGUGCCAGCAGCCGCGGU